This 490-nucleotide ribosomal RNA is filed under the name uncultured bacterium. RNAcentral's name for it is "bacterial SSU rRNA". It matches the Rfam family "Bacterial small subunit ribosomal RNA", at positions 8 to 496 of the family's 1533-position model. The record is from RNAcentral.
AGAGUUUGAUCAUGGCUCAGGAUGAACGCUAGCGGCAGGCUUAACACAUGCAAGUCGAGCGAAGCACUUUACUUUGAGAUCUUCGGAAGGAUAAGUUUUGUGACUAAGCGGCGGACGGGUGAGUAACGCGUGGGUAACCUGCCUCACACAGGGGGAUAACAGUUAGAAAUGACUGCUAAUACCGCAUAAGGCCACAGCACCGCAUGGUGCAAGGGUAAAAACUCCGGUGGUGUGAGAUGGGCCCGCGUCUGAUUAGUUAGUUGGCGGGGUAACGGCCUACCAAGGCGACGAUCAGUAGCCGACCUGAGAGGGUGACCGGCCACAUUGGGACUGAGACACGGCCCAAACUCCUACGGGAGGCAGCAGUGGGGAAUAUUGCACAAUGGGGGAAACCCUGAUGCAGCGACGCCGCGUGAGCGAAGAAGUAUUUCGGUAUGUAAAGCUCUAUCAGCAGGGAAGAAACUGACGGUACCUGACUAAGAAGCGCCGG